This 73-nucleotide transfer RNA is filed under the name Marmota monax (woodchuck). Its description in RNAcentral is "tRNA.Ala". Lineage: Eukaryota; Metazoa; Chordata; Mammalia; Rodentia; Sciuridae. The record is from RNAcentral.
GGAUGUGGCUCAAGCGGUAGCAGGCUCGCCUGGCAUGCGUGAGGCCUGGGUUCGAUCCUCAGCACCACAUACA